Molecule: ribosomal RNA, 321 nt
Filed under: Triticum aestivum (bread wheat)
Lineage: Eukaryota; Viridiplantae; Streptophyta; Magnoliopsida; Poales; Poaceae
Description: partial small subunit ribosomal RNA
Source: RNAcentral
UUGUGUCUACCAAAGAAAGAAGGUGUGAUGGGGUUUCGAGAUAUUCACAUUUUUAACCUUACCUUACUUGCAAAACAAGCAUGGAGAUUAAUUGAUAACCCGGAUUCACUAUGUGCUUGUGUUCUCAAAGCCAAGUAUUAUCCAGAUUGUGACUUGCUGAAUGCAUUUUUGAAAAAGAGAUCCUCCUUACCUGGCAAAGCAUUAUAGCAGGGGUGCAAAUGCUCAAGAGAGGUCACAUAUGGAGAGUUGGAGAUGGUAGUCAGAUCAAUGUGUGGGAUGAUGAGUGGAUUCCCAAGUCACCGACCAGGAAGGUGGUUAUAG